AACGAACGCUGGCGGCAUGCCUAACACAUGCAAGUCGAACGAGACCUUCGGGUCUAGUGGCGCACGGGUGCGUAACGCGUGGGAACCUGCCCUUAGGUUCGGAAUAACUCCCCGAAAGGGGUGCUAAUACCGGAUAAUGUCUUCGGACCAAAGAUUUAUUGCCUUUGGAUGGGCCCGCGUUGGAUUAGCUAGUUGGUAGGGUAAAAGCCUACCAAGGCGACGAUCCAUAGCUUGUCUGAGAGGAUGAUCAGCCACACUGGGACUGAGACACGGCCCAGACUCCUACGGGAGGCAGCAGUGGGGAAUAUUGGACAAUGGGCGAAAGCCUGAUCCAGCAAUGCCGCGUGAGUGAUGAAGGCAUUAGGGUUGUAAAGCUCUUUUACCCGGGAUGAUAAUGACAGUACCGGGAGAAUAAGCUCCGGCUAACUCCGUG
RNAcentral lists this ribosomal RNA (433 nucleotides) under uncultured bacterium. Its description in RNAcentral is "partial 16S ribosomal RNA". It matches the Rfam family "Bacterial small subunit ribosomal RNA", at positions 29 to 507 of the family's 1533-position model. The record is from RNAcentral.